RNAcentral lists this ribosomal RNA (253 nucleotides) under uncultured bacterium. RNAcentral's name for it is "partial 16S ribosomal RNA". It matches the Rfam family "Bacterial small subunit ribosomal RNA", at positions 524 to 776 of the family's 1533-position model. The record is from RNAcentral.
UACGUAGGGUGCAAGCGUUAAUCGGAAUUACUGGGCGUAAAGCGUGCGCAGGCGGUUAUGCAAGACAGGUGUGAAAUCCCCGAGCUCAACUUGGGAACUGCACUUGUGACUGCAUAGCUAGAGUACGGUAGAGGGGAGUGGAAUUCCGCGUGUAGCAGUGAAAUGCGUAGAUAUGCGGAGGAACACCGAUGGCGAAGGCAGCUCCCUGGCACAACACUGACGCUCAGGUGCGAAAGCGUGGGGAGCAAACAGG